CAGUCGCCGCGGUAAUACGUAGGGUGCAAGCGUUAAUCGGAAUUACUGGGCGUAAAGCGCGCGUAGGUGGUUCGCCAAGUUGGAUGUGAAAUCCCCGGGCUCAACCUGGGAACUGCAUCCAAAACUGGCGAGCUAGAGUAUGGUAGAGGGUGGUGGAAUUUCCUGUGUAGCGGUGAAAUGCGUAGAUAUAGGAAGGAACAUCAGUGGCGAAGGCGACCACCUGGACUGAUACUGACACUGAGGUGCGAAAGCGUGGGGAGCAAACAGGAUUAGAUACCCCGGUAGUCCCUGUCUCUUAUAC
This 301-nucleotide ribosomal RNA is filed under the name uncultured bacterium. RNAcentral's name for it is "partial 16S ribosomal RNA". It matches the Rfam family "Bacterial small subunit ribosomal RNA", at positions 509 to 807 of the family's 1533-position model. The record is from RNAcentral.